Leptopilina heterotoma is the source of this 817-nucleotide long non-coding RNA. RefSeq lists it as uncharacterized. The record is from RefSeq and is a predicted model, not a curated record. The transcript has 2 exons. NCBI's taxonomy places the organism in Eukaryota, Metazoa, Arthropoda, Insecta, Hymenoptera, Figitidae.
AAAUUAGUUUUCACUAACUCUAAUAAUUUAAAAAACUGUAUUUUUCCAAAAUUUAAAGAUCCAACAGAGAAAUUUCAGAGAGUUGGAUGUGUAUAUAAAAUUCAAUGCAAAGAUUGUGAUAGUUGUUAUAUCGGAGAAACCUUAAGACAUCUUAAAACUAGAAUAAAAGAACAUAAACGAUAUGUCACUCACAACCAAAAUAUUAAUGCUUUAACUAAUCAUACUUUUGAUAAUAAACAUUCUUUUGAUUUUGACAAUACAAAUAUUUUACAAAUUGAAAUAAAUAACUGGAAAAGAAAAAAUUUGGAAAUGUUCUAUAUAAAAAAUAAUACUAAUAGUAUUAAUUAUAGAACAGAUAUUGACAAUCUAGAUAAAAUAUACUAUAAUUUAAUUACUUAUUUUAAAACAUAAUUUAAAAAGUUUAAUAACAUAGAAAUCUACUUUACCUAUCAUACCUGGACCCUAAUACACAACCUAACCUCUCUGUCAUAACUCUCUGUUCAUAGAAGCACAUUUUUUGCAAAAAAUGUGUUUCUACAAAAUUUAUAAAAUUAAUUAAAUUGUUUAAUAUAAAAUGUUUUUUUUUAAAAAAAUUUUUUUUUUACAAUAAAAAAAUUUUUUUCCUUUUCUAUACUUGUAAUGUUCUUCUAAAGGAUAUUUUAAUCCUUUUUGAAAUCUUUUUAUGAUGUGUCCAAUAUUUGGAUAAUUUUCUGUAAAAUUGUUCAUCCCCUGAUGAGGAACCAUAUGGUUCGAAACUAGUCGGGAUUAUAAAAUAAACAUCAUAUAAAAUAACCGUAUCUAGGCCUUUUCAUUAUCC